CGUCUCUAGCUUCCUCACUUGAACAUGGGGAUAAAAUGGCACUUAUUUCAGAGCUUUGCUGUGAGGAUUAAAUGAGCGAAUUACACAUAAGGCACUUAGACUAAAGGCUCCAUAAGUGUCAGACAAAUCUAGGGGCAGAAGAAUAGGUUUGAAGGAGCAGGGAUGUGAAACAGAAUGGAGAACACGGAAGCAAAAGUCAUCUGCUACACAAUAAUAGCAGAGCACUUUGGACAGAUUAUUACUCAGCCUUCAGAAAAAUCCGUUAAUGCACGUGAGCCAAUCCAAGUCACAUGGCUAAUAAAUAGCUGAGCUGGGUUUGAAUUCAGGACAUCUGUUUCCAGAGAGCAAGUCCCGAACCAUUAUGAAAUCGUGUCUCCUACCUUCACAGCUGCCCUUUGGGGAAUGGAAUCCCUGCCUCGAAAAGGAGAAAGUGAAGCAAAAAAAGAUGUAGGGAAUGGAAAAGGAGAAAGAAUAAACAAAAUAAGGUCAGACUCAACUACUUUCUGAAUUUAAAAGCGAUAAAGUGACAGGUUUCCCUUUAUCAUCCCUUCGCACAGAGCCUACUAUUCCUGUGGUUGACACUUUACUGUGAAUCUGGUGCCAGGAUGAAAUUAAAGUCACUGUGAAAGGCUGCAACAGGAUCACAGAUCCCUCUCACUUGGUAAGACCCAAACAUGAAGUGGACAUCAGGGUCAUGAAAUGAGAGGGUGGGCAGAAGAGCCGUGCACUGAGUAUNAGAAACACAGAAAUGGUGCCCCUAUCCAGAGCAUCAGGACAAGCUGCCGGGUUUUAGAGGCAGGCACACAAAGGAUUCACACUGUUGUCUGGCCCAGAGCAUCUGAAAAAAAUGACUUGACACCUCUGAGCAUCACUUUUUCUAUAUGUGAAAUGGGAACAAGAACACCCACCUCUUCACGGAUAAACCACGUUGCUACAAUGUCAGGAAGAAAUGGGAAGCCAGCACUCACACACGGCAAAUGCAGCUGAAGAGCGAGGGAAGAUUGGUAAUCAGCAGUGGUGUUCAGUCACUAAGUUGUGUCCGA
This 1043-nucleotide long non-coding RNA is filed under the name Capra hircus (goat). RNAcentral's name for it is "lncRNA (ENSCHIG00010024176.1)". Lineage: Eukaryota; Metazoa; Chordata; Mammalia; Artiodactyla; Bovidae. The record is from RNAcentral.